This 66-nucleotide transfer RNA is filed under the name Japanagallia turriformis. RNAcentral describes it as "tRNA-His". Lineage: Eukaryota; Metazoa; Arthropoda; Insecta; Hemiptera; Cicadellidae. The record is from RNAcentral.
UUUAAGUAUUUUAUGUAAAAUAAAGAUUUGUGGAAUCUUAGAUGCUAAAUUUUUUUAGUCUUAAAU